Molecule: ribosomal RNA, 319 nt
Filed under: uncultured eukaryote
Lineage: Eukaryota
Description: partial 18S ribosomal RNA
Rfam family: Eukaryotic small subunit ribosomal RNA
Source: RNAcentral
CCCUUAGAUGUUCUGGGCAGCACGCGCGCUACAAUGGUCUUCGCAAACGGAUGCAUUCUCAAAGGAGAAUGCCAAUCUUGGAAUCUAUGCCUUGGUCGGGACAGUUGCUUGCAAUUUUUCGACUCGAACCAGGAAUUCCUUGUAAUCGUGAUUCAUCACAUCACGAUGAAUACGUCCCUGCCCUUUGUACACACCGCCCGUCGCUCCUACCGAUCGAAGAGUUAGGUGAAUUGUUUUGAUCGAUAAGAUUUGACUAUGGUCAACUCUCGUUGUGAAAUUCUGUGAAUCUGACUGUUUAGAGGAAGGAAAAGUCGUAACA